Long non-coding RNA from Orcinus orca (killer whale), 4953 nucleotides. RefSeq lists it as uncharacterized. The record is from RefSeq and is a predicted model, not a curated record. Lineage: Eukaryota; Metazoa; Chordata; Mammalia; Artiodactyla; Delphinidae. The transcript is spliced from 3 exons.
GGCAGAGCUAGGAUUAGAAUCUUAAUCUCUUUCUCUUUCCCUCAUCUCUAAAUUUUCAGCAUGUAUUUCCUAAAAGUAAAAACACUCUUUCAUAACCAGAGUACAAUUACAAUAUCAGGAAAUCAACAUUAAAACAAUAUAAACAAUCUACAGACCUUAUUCAAAUUUUGUCAAUUGUCCCACUAGUGUCCUUUAUUGGACCAGGAUCCAAUCCAGAGUCACACAAAUUUAGUUGUGAUGUCUCUGCAGUUUGCUUUAAUCAGGAAAAAUUCCUCAGUCUAUCUUUGUUUUUAGGACCUUGAUACUUUUGAAGAGUACAGGUCAGUUAUUUUGAAGAAUGUCCCUAAGAUUCGGGCUGUCUGAUGGUUUUUCAUAACUAAAUUCAAGUUCUGCUGUUUCAGCACAAAUAGCACACCUUCUCAGAGUAUCAUGUCAGGAGGCGCAUGAGGUCCAUUUUUCCAUUUCUAAUGAUAGGAACCUUGAUCCCUUGUUUAAGAUGCAAUCUGCUGGUUUUUCCCAUGAUAAAGUUAUCAUUUCAUCCCUCUGUAAUGAAUAAGUAUCUUCUGAGGAGAAACCUUGAGACUGUGUAGGUUUAUUUAUCAUACUUCACCCGCUGAUUUUAUCAUCCGUGAAUGAUUUGUACCUGAAGCAACUGUUAAUGUGGUGGUUGCAAAGUGGUGACUCUAAUUCUAUCCUUUCUCCUACAUGUAUUAGUUGGAUUCCUACUGUAAGGAAAAGUUUCCCCUUCUCCCCCGUUCAUUCAUUCAUUCAUUCAUUCAUUCAUAUCAGUAUGGACUCACUCAUGGAUUCUUUUUUAUUCUAGAAUCCAUAUGUCUUAACACCUAAGUCCACUCUCUUUCCACUCUAGGGCCCAGCUGCUUAUAAUAGCAUUAUUUCAGAGAUGACUUCUUAGUUUAUCACAUUGGUUCAAAAACCUAAUUGAAAUUUUAUUCAGACCAUAGAUUUUAAGAUAGGUCUCCUCUUUCGUGACAGUACAGGUUCCAAGCUAGAGCCUAGGAAUAUCAACAGUCUUAAGAGUACUACCGCUGUUGCUCUGGGUCAUAUUUUCCAGGGUCAUAAUAACAAUUUAAAUUUUUUGCCUUAAAGCAAUGCCUUCAUCAUUUCCCACCCACCUUAAUUCGUCUUAGGCCAUGUGUGUAAGGAGUCUAACCAUGCUCAUAUUAUGGUCCUUGAGCUAAAGGAGGAUCCCAUCCUUGAACUCAGAGAAUGGGAGAAGGGUAGGCAGAGCUGGUCAUGGCCAAACCUAGGUUUCUAAGAAGGAAAAAACUGCUCUAGUUGGCAAGUUCUCUCUUUCCUGGUCCUCCCACUCCAUUGUCCCUGGGGUACCUGAAGGAGGGACAUUUGAUUUGCAUUUGUACUUGGUUGUAUAAGUCUAAAGGAGAAUGCCAACUCACAAGUCAAUAUUUGCCAUUUUUGACUACUAACUACAUGAUUUUAAAAAAAACGAAAACAAGACUUUACCACAUCCUUGAUUUCACCAUCAUGUCAUUGUGCAAGAAAAAUAAAUCAGCUAUUUAGCAGAAGCAAGAUGUGACUUUUUAAAAAAACCUAAGUGCUUUUUGUUUUUAGAAACAAAUAUAGCUGACUCAGAACCAUAAAGAAAUGAAAAAUUUCAUUUUGGGGUACACAUACCUCUGUUCUCUAAGAUGUAUUCUAAGGGAAAUUCCUCUCAGAAUUUGGCCACUUAUAACCAGUAUUAGAAUGCUCUGGGAAUAAGAACUCAAACUGAACCAGGUUGAGUUGAAAUGUCUAACACAGUGGUUCUCAAACUAUGGUGAUACUGCCCCAUGAAGGGGCAUUUGGUGGAGGAUGGAUGUGUUUUUCUGGUUGUCACAAUCAGUAAAGUCGGGGUGCUACUGGCAUUUAACAUGCAGGUGCCAAGAUGAUAAACAUCCCGCCAUGCAUGGGACAGUUCCAUAUGCAUGAGUUGCCCUGCCCAAAAUACCGAUAACAUCCAUGGAGAAACAAUCAAAGAGCUUUCCCAGGAAUUUGGAAUUAGACUAAGACUCCACCUCAGUGUAACUGCUCUCUUGAAUUGAGGAGUUGUAACCCCAAGAACUGUUGGCUGUGGACCUGAUUUACAUAGUGGAUUGGGCAGUAGAGAGAGCUCAUCUACAGUGAGAGGGGACUGACACAGAUACGUAGAUAGAAACGGGGAGAAGCGACAGAGUGAGACUCUUGCUGACACUCUGCUUCAAGCCCUUGGCUCUCUUUACACUUCAGGCCCAUCUAUAACCCUGUUGUUGGUUUCUGUGACACCCUGUUGCUUGCAGACAAGGGUGUUAACUUCGGAGAAACUGCCCUCUUCCGUCACCUGGAUGAGCAAUGGAGAAAGCUAGUGUGUCCGGGGCAAGAGGGAGGCAUCCAUGCACCACUGGAUGCUGCCUGAAGGCCUUAAGGUUCCUGGUCAGCUACUGCUGGACCAACCAAAUGUGGCCUGAGAGGUGGGUGCUAGGAGAUGGGUCUCUCCAGAAACUGCAUUGUGACUGGAGGGGGCAGGGCAGUUCCAGAAGAGGAGGAAGUGCUGGACAGCAAAUUGUACAAGAGCUCACAGCAUUCCCAGUAGGAGGUCAGCCCAGACUGAGACUGGAACUUCUUAAAUCUCUUCCAUGGAAAGGACCGGCAUGAGUUUGGAUUAGGUGCUGUCCCAAGCCUGAGAAGAAAAACAAGGAAAGACCUUGAGAUGCUCCCAGUGAAGGGCUUCUUAUUUUUAUCCAUCAGCAUGUGAUUGGAGACGGAAGAUUUGGCCUGGUUGACUCUAUAAUCUGAGCAGGAACAAUCACGUUUUUACAGUAGUGAACCAUGUGAUCAGAAAUUCAAGUAAGUUACAUUCAUUUAUUUUUAGUGAUAAUGGUGUUGGAAGGCAGCUAUGCUCACCACUAUACCACCAGUGCUCGUUUUUUAGUGAUAAUGGUAUUGAAUGAAAAUCCAUGUGACUCAAAUCUGAAUCAAGGACAUUCGGGGAAUUAUUCACACCUCUUUUCCUUUUGUCAGCAAUCCACGAUGUCCCAGUUUCAUUCUGAAAUUUUAGUGGAAUUAAAUCUGAGGAACUCAAAAAACUAUAUCAUGAAGUUUGGUUCAAUUACAAUUUUUAGCCAAGCCAAGCCUGCUAAUGAGACACACGUGGGCGACUAGUUUCGCAACCAUAGUGUUAGGCAGAUGGGUAGUCCCUGCUGAACCCCUACGUACAUGGGUGAUGGUUAAUUUUAUGUGUCAACUUGACUGGACCACGGGGUACCCAGAUAUCUAGUUAAAUAUUAUUUGGGGUGUGUCUGUGACAGUGUUUCCGGAAGUGAUUAGUAUUUGAAUUAGUAGACUGAGUAAAGCAGACUGCUCUCCCUAACGUGGGUGAGCAUCAUCCAUUCUGUUGAGGGCCUGAAUAGAACAAAAAGGUGGAAGGAGAGCACAUCUGCUCUCUGCUUAACCUUGUCUAAAUCGGGACUUUGAUCUUUUCCUGCGCUCAGAUUGGAACUUACACCAUUGCCCCCCACCCAGGCCCUCAGGUCUUGAGGCCUGGAUUGGAACUACACCUGCUUUCCUGGGUCCCUGACUUGCAAACGACUGAUUGUGGGAUUUCUCAGCCACCAUAAUGGCAUGAGCCAAUAUCUUAUAAUCUCAAAAUCUCUCUCAACAGAGAGAGAGAGAGAGAGGGGGAAGGGUUGGUUUUGUCUCACCUUGAUGUCUCGGUGGCCACACUGUGGGGCCAUUUAGCCUUGACCCCUUGCCAGCCGCUGAAUUUCUAACAUAAUGCUAAGGAGACCUAGGUUUUGUGUUGGGCCUCUGGGGCGGUUAGUUCGGCUUUGCUUCAUGGCCUCGGGCUUGGCAACCUUCUUACGGUGUGAGAGCAUUAAGUGGCUGGUUCAUAAAGUUGGAAGGCCCAGACCCUUUUGCAGCAUUGCUUCAGAAAACAUCCUCUGGUGAGACACUGCACAAGCUGAAUAAGUCCUUUGUUAACUUGGAGUCUGCACGAAUGUCUACAUCACAUUUGGUAAAAAAUGUAGAUUACACUGCUGGGCUUACAUCGCUGUAAUUAAAACAUUUUGUUAAUAGUCACUUAUGGAUUAAUUAUAGUUGAUCCGGAGUUAGAAUAAAUCCAGGCCAUUUUGGGGCAAUCUGGGUAUACCAUGUGAUUGUAUUUCUCUAAGUACCAGUCAGGCUGUAUAUUUUUCCAUGAUCCCUCUUGUCUAAUCUUCUGUUUUUUAUUUUUUUGACCCCAGAAAUGUAUCUGUCCUCCACCACUGGAAUAAAUAUACGAGCUUGUUUUCUAAUUUUCAAAAUAGUUUGCGGUUGUUGUUUAUUCUUUGAACCAUCUAAGUUUAUCAAAAUGUAGGAUGCAUGUAAUAGGUAUGAAUUGUUCCACUGCACUUAAGGUGCAAGAAAAAUCACUUUGCUUUGUAGGCCAGGAUUAACUCUUUGAGCCCAGUAGUAAUUAUUUAGGAAGGGGGUCCUCGCCCCCUGCCUCCCCAGGUUGUACCAGGCCCUCAGGGCCCUCUCAGUCUAGGAAGAUUGGGAAAGAGGCCUCUGUCAUUAAUCCAUUUGGUCACCAGAGAAGAUGCUCCUGGCCCCAGUGUGCAUAGACCUCCCGACAGCUGGUAGGCCCUGUAGCUGUACUCUCUCCUCACCAGGCCAAACAGCAUGGCAGCUGCUCCCAAGCUGAGGGGCUUGGUGACUGGCCUUGAUAAUAUCCCUGCAGCCAUCCCCCACUCAAGGCCCUGCCACCCCCUGGGCACUGUGUGUCCCCCUCUCCUAGUGACCUCAAACCAGAGAACCAACCACUCUCAGCCUGGCAUCAAGCCUCUUCCCAACUCCAGACACCUCAUCCCCCCAUCUCCCCCACCCCAGCCUCCUCCUGCCUGGGAACCAGGCUCGCAAACAAAAGCUUGAUCCUAAAACACAAAAUGCGUCCCUUGGGAGCCAGGAACACAGGAACAC